CUACGGGAGGCAGCAGUGGGGAAUCUUGCGCAAUGGGCGAAAGCCUGACGCAGCGACGCCGCGUGAGUGAUGAAGGCCUUCGGGUUGUAAAGCUCUGUGGGGAGAGACGAAUAAGUGCGGGCGAAUACCCCGUAUGAUGACGGUAUCUCCUUAGCAAGCACCGGCUAACUCUGUGCCAGCAGCCGCGGUAAGACAGAGGGUGCAAACGUUGUUCGGAAUUACUGGGCGUAAAGCGAGUGUAGGCGGUUUGGAAAGUCGGAUGUGAAAGCCCCAGGCUCAACCUGGGAAGUGCAUUCGAUACUCUCAAGCUAGAGUACUGGAGAGGUUGGUGGAAUUCUCGGUGUAGAGGUGAAAUUCGUAGAUAUCGAGAGGAACACCGGUGGCGAAGGCGGCCAACUGGACAGAUACUGACGCUGAGACUCGAAAGCGUGGGGAGCAAACAGGAUUAGAUACCCGUGUAGUCC
This 464-nucleotide ribosomal RNA is filed under the name uncultured bacterium. Its description in RNAcentral is "bacterial SSU rRNA". It matches the Rfam family "Bacterial small subunit ribosomal RNA", at positions 339 to 796 of the family's 1533-position model. The record is from RNAcentral.